Molecule: long non-coding RNA, 2755 nt
Organism: Columba livia (rock pigeon)
Lineage: Eukaryota; Metazoa; Chordata; Aves; Columbiformes; Columbidae
Exons: 3
Source: RefSeq, a predicted model, not a curated record
UGUUCCUCCCUGAGUUCAUUCAAAGAGUGUGAAUGUCUGCCUGAGUUCUCCAGGCCAGCACAGGUGGAGUGAAUAUGUAGCUCAGCCCAACAGAAGAUUACACUAAGCAGCUAACAAAAUAAUUUCAAAGAGAACAGUGGGCUUGAGCUGGCUUCAGCACACAUACUAUUUCCUAGCAAUUGGGGUGGCCCAGAGUCAUGAUGGAGAUGCUAUCAUUCCUCUGAGGACUCAGUUAUGCUUCACAGUCAUUGCCCUGAGUAGUAAGAGAUGAAGUAUUAAAGCCAUUCCAAAGAAACUACUUAAUAUAUUUACAGGUCAGAGAACAGACUCGUGGAUGAACUGUGUACAAGCAACUAAUCAUAAAGAGUGUGCUGGGAAGACUUCCAGAAGACUCACUGGCUUGACCUGUCUCCUGUUCAAACUACAAACUACUUCAUGGGUUGGCCUGAGCUACUACUGACUGUUAUGGACCCUCAAAAGCUUUGAGAUACACAUGAUGGGGCACCUAAUCCUGAGAGAAUUCAAAUGCCAACAACUAAAAGCAGUAUGCGAGUCUAUAUCACAUCUCUGCGGUCCAAAUAUACGAGUUUUCUAAACUGCAGUCUAUGAAAAGUAAACUGAACAUUUCCUUUCUCUUUUCCAAUAAAAAGCUGAAAACAAACCCAGAAUUGUAUUCUGUCAAAAAUUUAAAUACAUUGUUACUAAUAGCAAACCAGGAAAGUGUAUUUCUUUAUAUUUCUUGCCAAAUAUGCUUUUGAACCACAUUUAAAAAUAAAUAAAUAAUGAAAAAGAAUUUGACACUGAUGUAUAUCACUAUAGAUCUACCUCUGGAAAUCACUGUUAACCUUUUAUUUCUAUGAAGGUUAGAAAUAAACUUCUAAUUUAGUCAGCUUUGAAUUACUUGGGCUGCCAGUUACAGGUAUAUGUUCAAACUACCUUAUCAAUACUGCUAGAGAUUCAGUAACUGGUGAUUGCAGAACAUUUUUAGUGCCAAAAUAUGGAGAGACUUUUAUUUGCCAAAAUAAAUCAGAAGGGGUCAUGUCUUCCACUUCUCUAAAUCAUUGUAGUUCAGUGAAAGUCAAUGGAUCUCGAGCAUAUUACAUAAGAAUGGGACUUCAUCCAGUUUGUUUCUUCAUUUCUUUGACAAAAGAAACCCUUCAAAGUAAGGAAAAAGAAACUUGUAGUGACCUAAUUUAAAAACAAACAAACAAACAAACAACCCAAUCAAACUUAUUUAGUGUUUUUUUUUAGUACAAAACAACUUUAAAGCAUACUGCAUGUAUGAUGGCAAAUUGAACACACAAUUUAUGCAUGACUUUUGCUUCCUUAAUGAAUUGUAAAGAAAAGAAUGAGGUGCCUAUUCCAAGCAAGGAUAUGAUUGUUAUUUUUUAACAUCUAAGAGACAUUUUAUGCAUUAUGCUUUGCAGACCUAGCAGGUUUUUUUGUUUGUUUGUUUGUUUUGUUUUGUUUUGUUUUUAAAUUUGUGUGAUGUCAUAUUUGAAAGCAGUUAGUCGAUGAAAUCUUAGUUGUGAAAGUCAACCAAAUAUUGUGACCAAAGGAAUGUCUCCAAAUUAGGCAUUCAGAAUCAGGUCUUAGUUGAUUAAUCCAAUCUUAUUUGAGCUCAUAGUACAGUAUCAAGAUCCCCAUUAUGCUUAGUUAUAAUUAUUUAUAUGCUACUGAUUGGUCAUUUGCAUUUGUAGUUGAUCAACAAUUUGAUUCAUCAGUCUAAAAAUGUAUUUUCACACCAAAAAAAUGCAAUACCUGUGUCAAUGGACAAUUCACUAAGAAUGAAUGUAGAAGAAACAGACUUUUUCAUUCAUGCCUGGGAGUGCAUCUGUUGUGUUGAUACUCAGGAUUAUUCUUAUAAGAGUUCAUAACACCUUACGACAUUUGAGAAGCCAAAUAUAUGCAGUUCAUCCUCACACCCACCUUGCACAAUAUGGUUUAUUUGAAAUAAUUAAUAUAAUCUUUAUAUUAUGGUAAAUCUAGUAUCAUAUCUUUAUAUAAAAUCAGUUUUGAAGCCAAUUUUACCAAGAUUAUGAUAAAGUACUAAAGAGAUGAAAAAAUAUUAACUUGUCUAAUAUGUAGUAGAAAUUUAUGCAGCCACAAGCUGCCAGUAAUAAAUUUUAAUUGAUUUACAAUUUAUAUUUUUGGUCUUCUUCCCAGAGACUCCAAGCUAUUAAUCUGUCUUGAACACAACCAGAAUACUGUAACAAUUCUUAGUCACUAAAAGCCUUAAGGGGAAUUCAAAUCUGUUAGAACAAAUAUAAUAGCUUUAUCCACCUUAAAGUGGGGAGUAAGGUAGAGAGGGAAAGGACACGAAACAAAAUUUAAAAAAAAAUAUUAUUUGUAUUUACUCAACUUUAAUAAAAAUGUGUUGUUCUUGAAUUUGAUAUAAACAUAUAUUCAUCUUUUUAAAGUGAUAAGAAUGUAUAUUGUUUACUGUGUUGCUAAUGUAGAGUUGGAUGCAACAUUUUCUAACAGUAAAGAGCUGUAUAACAAACAAAUGACUACCUUUUGUUAUUAUUUCAGAUGAUAUUGUAUGCAGCAUUCAUAUACAGUAUUUCAUAUUAUUUUAAACCCUAUUGAGUCAAUAUCAAAUGCCAAAUGUCCUUGGUUUGAUGUCUACUAGGCUGGAGAUACCUGAAGUAAUAAAGUACCUAGUUCUGAUUUCAUACACUCUCUUUUGCAUCUACAGCUCUACAAGAUCAUCAGUGAUGAUGGAAACACCUAUAUACGCAUCUCAUACUCAGAG